Xiphophorus hellerii (green swordtail) is the source of this 368-nucleotide long non-coding RNA. RefSeq lists it as uncharacterized. The record is from RefSeq and is a predicted model, not a curated record. The transcript is spliced from 3 exons. Lineage: Eukaryota; Metazoa; Chordata; Actinopteri; Cyprinodontiformes; Poeciliidae.
AAAAAAGGGAACCUUUGAGAGAGACGGACGGAGUUUGGUGUUUCGAACCCCAGACCUGGCUUGAUGAUGAAGAAGGUGCUGCAGCAGGAGGAAGAUGUUGAUCGAUGAAGGCCAGGAUCUCCGUAGGUCUGAUGAUGAAGAAGGUGCUGCAGCAGGAGGAGGAAGUUGAUCAGCGAAGGCAGGAAUCUCUGUAGGUCUGAUGAUGAAGAAGGUGCUGCAGCAGGAGGAAGAUGUUGAUCGAUGAAGGCCAGGAUCUCCGUAGGUCUGAUGAUGAAGAAGGUGCUGCAGCAGGAGGAGGAAGUUGAUCAGCGAAGGCAGGAAUCUCUGUAGGUCUGAUGAGCUUCUUCUCCGCAUGGAUGGUGAGGUCA